UGGAAAGUUCAUUGUUCGACACCAUGGAUCUCCAGGUGGGUCACGUUUAGAGAUACACCAACCUGGAAGACUCCAUGCUGUUGA
Molecule: microRNA precursor, 84 nt
Filed under: Dipodomys ordii (Ord's kangaroo rat)
Lineage: Eukaryota; Metazoa; Chordata; Mammalia; Rodentia; Heteromyidae
Description: microRNA 490 (ENSDORG00000020780.2)
Rfam family: mir-490 microRNA precursor family
Source: RNAcentral